AUUCCAGCUCCAAGAGUGUAUAUUAAAGUUGUUGCGGUUAAAAAGCUCGUAGUUGGACUGCAAGUUGAAGUGUGAAGUCCCCGGGGACGUUGUUCUCGGGAUCAAGGCUUUUGCUCCUCUUCUAGGAAAUUUGACGCAAAAACACGGGGUUCUCCUCGUGGUCAGGUUAGUUUUACUUUGAAUGAAUUAGGGUGUUCAAAGCAGGCGAAUCGCCGUGAAUACAUUAGCAUGGGAUAAUAAAAUAUGACAUUGGUCUAAUACUUAUUGGUUUCUGAGGCCAGAGUAAUGAUUAAAAGGGACAGUUGGGGUCGCUUGUAUUCAGUGGUCAGAGGUGAAAUUCUAGGACCCACUGAGGACAAACAAAUGCGAAGGCAUUCGACAAGGAUGUUUUCAUUAAUCAAGAACGAAAGUUGUGGGAUCGAAGAUGAUCAGAUACCGUCGUAGUCACAACCGUAAACUAUGUUGACUUAGGAUUGGGGGAUGUUAAUAGAUGACUCUCCUAGCACUAUGUGCGAAAGCAUAAGUAUCCAAACUCCGGGGGGAGUAUGGUCGCAAGGCUGAAACUUAAAGGAAUUGACGGAAGGACACCACCAGGAGUGAACCUGCGGCUUAAUUUGACCCAACACGGGGAAACUCACCCGGUCCGGACAUUGUAAGGAUUGACAGAUUGAUAGCUCUUUCUUGAUUUGAUGGGAGCCGGUGCAUGGCCGUUUUUAGUUGGUGGAGUGAUUUGUCUGGUUAAGUCCGAUAACGAACGAGACCUCAAUUUGCUAAAUAGGAUGCCUCACAGGGUGGUCUUCUGGCUUGUCGGGUUUCGGCUCGGCUUGUUGGGGGGUUGCCGUUUAGUUGUGGGGCAAAUUUUACUUCUUAGAGAGACAGUUAACAAGAAAGAUAGUUAAAGGAGGCUUGAGGCAAAAACAGGUCUGUGAUGCCGCUAGAUGCCCGGGGCUCACGCGCGUUACACUGAAAUUUUCAAUAAGUAUGAAUAAUUUUACCUUGCCCGAGGGGGUUUUGGUAAUCUAGAAAAACAUUUCGUGAUGGGGAUUGUAUAUUGAAACUAUUACACAUAAACGAGGAAUUCCUAGUAGGGGCAGGUCAUCAACCUACCCCGAUUACGUCCCUGUCCUUUGUACACACCGCCCGUCGCUUCUACCGAUCGAGCUACUCGAUGAAAACUCGGGAUUCGAUGAUUUGUCUGCCGCAAGGUGGGUGGUUGUUGGAGAACCUGUUUGAAUCUCGCAGCUUAGAGGAAGAAGAAGUCGU
This 1263-nucleotide ribosomal RNA is filed under the name metagenome. RNAcentral describes it as "SSU rRNA". It matches the Rfam family "Eukaryotic small subunit ribosomal RNA", at positions 582 to 1792 of the family's 1831-position model. The record is from RNAcentral.